ACCGUGCAAAGGUAGCAUAAUCAUUAGUUUUUUAAUUGAAAGCUGGAAUGAAUGGUCGGACGAGAAAAUAACUGUCUCAAUUUAAUUUUAAUUAGAACUUUAUUUUUAAGUAAGAAAGCUUAAAUAAUUUUAAAAGACGAGAAGACCCUAUAGAGUUUUAUAUUUAGUUGUAUAUUAAUAUUUAAGUAUUUUUAAGUUUGUAUAUAAUAGAAUAUUUUGUUGGGGUGACAGAAAAAUUGAAUUAACUUUUUUUUCAGUUUAACAUUAAUUUAUGAGUAUAUGAUCCGUUGUUUACGAUUAUAAGAUUAAAUUACCUUAGGGAUAACAGCGUAAUUUUUUUUGAGAGUUCAUAUCGAAAAAAGAGUUU
RNAcentral lists this ribosomal RNA (367 nucleotides) under Anthracophora rusticola. RNAcentral's name for it is "partial 16S ribosomal RNA". The record is from RNAcentral. Lineage: Eukaryota; Metazoa; Arthropoda; Insecta; Coleoptera; Scarabaeidae.